CGAAGGAUCCAAGCGUUGUCCGGAUUUACUGGGUUUAAAGGGUGCGUAGGCGGAUAAAUAAGUCAGAGGUGAAAGCCUGCAGCUCAACUGUAGAAUUGCCUUUGAAACUGUUUAUCUAGAGUACACUUGAGGUGGCUGGAAUAUAUCAUGUAGCGGUGAAAUGCUUAGAUAUGAUAUAGAACACCAAUUGCGAAGGCAAGUCACUAAGAUGUAACUGACGCUGAGGCACGAAAGCGUGGGUAGCAAACAGGAUUAGAUACCCUGGUAGUCCACGCCGUAAACUCUGAAUACUCGCUGUUGGCGAUACACAGUCAGCGGCUAAGCGAAAGCGUUAAGUAUUCCACCUGGGGAGUACGAUCGCAAGAUUG
RNAcentral lists this ribosomal RNA (368 nucleotides) under uncultured organism. Its description in RNAcentral is "bacterial SSU rRNA". It matches the Rfam family "Bacterial small subunit ribosomal RNA", at positions 526 to 896 of the family's 1533-position model. The record is from RNAcentral.